Molecule: transfer RNA, 59 nt
Filed under: Gammarus nipponensis
Lineage: Eukaryota; Metazoa; Arthropoda; Malacostraca; Amphipoda; Gammaridae
Description: tRNA-Thr
Source: RNAcentral
GUCCCCGUAGUUUAUUAAAACUUUAGUCUUGUAAACUAAGAUCGGCCCUCCCGGGGAUU